CGUUGCGUUGCGCGUGAGGUUACGCACAGUGACGCUCCUGAAUCCCUACAGGCGCGCAGAGGAGCGUCCCGGAAUUAACGGAGGAGAGAGAGAGAGGAAAAUAACGGAUCCGCUAAAUUUAACCGAUUCACGGUAAACGGUGCACCUUCCCGCCGGGGUGCAACCUCUUAGAGCGGCGGACGGAGGUCGGAGGAAGGGAUCGUUCUCACGCGGAGCCUUCAAGUCUUCCCAGAUGUGGGGUGUCUCCAUCCAUGGCCUCCUUCAGGUGACCUCCGGUGACCUCAGUCACUCCUGACUGCAGCUUUGAACUCCUGAUCCACCAGAAGACGUCUGCAGGAGCUGCUGAAUUAUUUAACAUCAGACGGUGGGCUUGGCUGCCGAGCGAGAAGGAGAGAGAGAGCUAGAGAGAACAGAGGCGGGAGGAAAAAAUGAUGGAGAGAGAAAGGGAUGUAUGGAGGUGUCCGACGCUGCAGGAAGCCGUGAGUCAGCAGGGAGAGAAAGAACCAGUGGGAGGGAAGACAGAGAGGGUUUAUAGAUAACUUUAGGUGAUACGUCUGCGGAGAGUGGCGUCAAAAAGCCUCCAGGUGCGU
Molecule: long non-coding RNA, 590 nt
Organism: Micropterus salmoides (largemouth bass)
Lineage: Eukaryota; Metazoa; Chordata; Actinopteri; Centrarchiformes; Centrarchidae
Exons: 3
Source: RefSeq, a predicted model, not a curated record